RNAcentral lists this ribosomal RNA (433 nucleotides) under uncultured bacterium. RNAcentral's name for it is "partial 16S ribosomal RNA". It matches the Rfam family "Bacterial small subunit ribosomal RNA", at positions 29 to 507 of the family's 1533-position model. The record is from RNAcentral.
AACGAACGCUGGCGGCAUGCCUAACACAUGCAAGUCGAACGAGACCUUCGGGUCUAGUGGCGCACGGGUGCGUAACGCGUGGGAACCUGCCCUUAGGUUCGGAAUAACUCCCCGAAAGGGGUGCUAAUACCGGAUAAUGUCUUCGGACCAAAGAUUUAUCGCCUUUGGAUGGGCCCGCGUUGGAUUAGCUAGUUGGUAGGGUAAAAGCCUACCAAGGCGACGAUCCAUAGCUGGUCUGAGAGGAUGAUCAGCCACACUGGGACUGAGACACGGCCCAGACUCAUACGGGAGGCAGCAGUGGGGAAUAUUGGACAAUGGACAAGAGCCUGAUCCAGCAAUGCCGCGUGAGUGAUGAAGGCCUUAGGGUUGUAAAGCUCUUUUACCCGGGAUGAUAAUGACAGUACCGGGAGAAUAAGCGCCGGCUAACUCCGUG